GUUACAAUAUGGUUGAUCUUUGUGAAUUUUCCAUGUGAAGCUGAGAAAAUCAUGUUGGUGUAGAUUUUUCUUAAUUGCAUCACUUAAGUCAGGUUCGAAGAUAAGUGCUAGAAGAUAGUGUUAGAAGAUAGUAAACUAUAUCCUAAUUUUCUUCCUAUAUUUUAUACCAAUUGCUCAUAUAGGAGGGUUAAAAUCUCUAAUUAUAAUUGUAUUUGUCUUCUUAUAUUUCAGAAGUGUCAUAUUUUGUCUAAUGUAUUUUAAGCUCUGUUAUUUUGGGACUACUGAUG
Heterocephalus glaber (naked mole-rat) is the source of this 287-nucleotide long non-coding RNA. The record is from Ensembl. Lineage: Eukaryota; Metazoa; Chordata; Mammalia; Rodentia; Bathyergidae.